RNAcentral lists this non-coding RNA (1056 nucleotides) under Drosophila persimilis. Its description in RNAcentral is "Eukaryotic large subunit ribosomal RNA". It matches the Rfam family "Eukaryotic large subunit ribosomal RNA", at positions 1889 to 3401 of the family's 3401-position model. Lineage: Eukaryota; Metazoa; Arthropoda; Insecta; Diptera; Drosophilidae. The record is from Rfam by way of RNAcentral.
UAAAAUAAAGCUGAGAGAUCAGAUUCAUUCUAUCUAGCGAAACCACAGCCAAGGGAACGGGCGUGGAAUAAUUAGCGGGGAAAGAAGACCCUUUUGAGCUUGACUCUAAUCUGGCAGUGUAAGGAGACAUAAGAGGUGUAGCAUAAGUGGGAGAUAUUAGAUUUCGGUUUGGUAUCGACCAUGAAAUACCACUACUCUUAUUGUUUCCUUACUUACUUGAUUAAAUGGAACGUGUAUCAUUUCCUAGCCAUUAUACGGAUAUAUUUAUUAUAUCUUAUGGUAUUGGGUUUUGAUGCAAGCUUCUUGAUCAAAGUAUCACGAGUUUGUUAUAUAAUCGCAAACAAAUUCUUUAAUGAGAAAAUGCUUUUAUGUAUUUUCAGUUUGAAAAUUUGGUAUAACUCCAAUUACUCAGGUAUGAUCCAAUUCAAGGACAUUGCCAGGUAGGGAGUUUGACUGGGGAGGCGGAGGUGUCCCAAGGCCAGCUCAGUGCGGACAGAAACCACACAUAGAGCAAAAGGGCACAUGCUGACUUGAUCUCGGUGUUCAGUACACACAGGGACAGCAAAAGCUCGGCCUAUCGAUUCUUUUGGUUUAAAGAGUUUUUAACAAGAGGUGUCAGAAAAGUUACCAUAGGGAUAACUGGCUUGUGGCGGCCAAGCGUUCAUAGCGACGUCGCUUUUUGAUCCUUCGAUGUCGGCUCUUCCUAUCAUUGUGAAGCAAAAUUCACCAAGCGUUGGAUUGUUCACCCACGCAAGGGAAAGUGAGCUGGGUUUAGACCGUCGUGAGACAGGUUAGUUUUACCCUACUAAUGACAAAACGUUGUUGCGACAGCAUUCCUGCGUAGUACGAGAGGAACCGCAGGUACGGAGCAAUGGCACAAUACUUGUUCGAGCGAACAGUGGUAUGACGCUACGUCCCGUUGGAUUAUGCCUGAACGCCUCUAAGGUCGUAUCCGUGCUGGACUGCAAUGAUAAAUAAGGGGCAAUUUGCAUUGUAUGGGCUUCUAAACCUAAUGUUUGAUGAAGCAAUGGGGUCCAUUGUUUAUAUUAUGGGGGC